This 19688-nucleotide long non-coding RNA is filed under the name Cucumis sativus (cucumber). Its description in RNAcentral is "long non-coding RNA (CSAT_LNC002109)". The record is from RNAcentral. Lineage: Eukaryota; Viridiplantae; Streptophyta; Magnoliopsida; Cucurbitales; Cucurbitaceae.
GCCACACACACGGCAAUGAGCAGCAAGGCAACAUGCACCAUGGUGCGCGGAAGAUGUUGUCUUGGUGCCAUCUUUGCACAUGCGGAAGCGAACUUUCAAAUGGCAUUUACAAAACAUUGGGAAAACACUUUUUUUUCUUCCUAUUUUCUUCUAGAAAGUCUUUCCAGAACAUAUGUAUAUAUAUGUGUGUGUAUAUACAUAUAUAUUUGCAAAAUCUCUCGUUUAAAAGGUCUAUACAAGAACAUGUUCUAAAAGUUUUCUCGCUUCAAAUUCUGUUUACGAACUCUUUCCAAAACACUUCUUGGACGUUUCUUUUUGUUUUUGUUUUUGUUUUUUUCUUUGAAAAAUAAGAUAUUUUACAAAACUUUUGAAAAACUGCAUGAGCAAGGAUGUUGGCCACACACAGGGCAAUGAGCAGCAAGGCAACAUGCACCAUGGUGCGCGGAAGAUGUUGUCUUGGUGCCAUCUUUGCACAUGCGGAAGCGAACUUUCAAAUGGCAUUUACAAAACAUUGUGGAAAACACUUUUUUUUCUUCCUAUUUUCUUCUAGAAAGUCUUUCCAGAACAUAUGUAUAUAUAUGUGUGUAUAUACAUAUAUAUUUGCAAAAUCUCUCGUUUAAAAGGUCUAUACAAGAACAUGUUCUAAAAGUUUUCUCGCUUCAAAUUCUGUUUACGAACUCUUUCCAAAACACUUCUUGGACGUUUCUUUUUGUUUUUGUUUUUGUUUUUUCUUUGAAAAAUAAGAUAUUUUACAAAACUUUUGAAAAACUGCAUGAGCAAGGAUGUUGGCCACACACACGGCAAUGAGCAGCAAGGCAACAUGGCCACACACUCGUUAGUUGUGAGCUCAACUGGGAUUGAGAGUACAAUUGUCCCGCAUAUCAUUCAUUCCAUUAGCUAAUCGCUUCUGUUGCGAUCCUUGGUGGUUCAACCCAUUUGUUCUUUCAUAUCAAUCGUAGUACAACCCAAUCGCUCUUAAGUUGACUUCUCAUACUUAUAGAUUAUGAUUCUCAAUUAUUUGGCUAAGAUAACUUCCAUCGUUGAGCCUCCCUCUACUCAUUCCAAUCACAUUUCUUAACUUUGGUUUCUCUCAUUAUUUGUUGUCAUUUGCUCAACAAGUAUUUAUAUAAAUCAUCCCAAAUCAACUCCCACUUUUCAGAUUUCCAUGGAUAUAAAAAGAAAUGGUGGCUCAUCAUUCGUACCAUUUCUUUUGUUGAUGGGCAUGAAUUACGGGUCAUUAUGAACUCACCAACAAGCAACCAACCAUUUUGACUCCUUGUUAGUACUUAAAAGUUAACAACUUUAAUCAUCUUCUACUAGAUAAAAUAAGUUGUGUUUUCAAAGUUCAUGUGUAAAGCAAAAGAGAUUGUCUUAUAGUGACUUUAACAUAGAUUACACUCCCAUUGUGAAAUAAUAUAUAACUAUAUUUAUAUCAACUAUAUAUUACAUAUAUAACAAAACCCUAAAAUAAAGUUAAGUUGUCCAAAAUAACAAACUAGCGUCCUCCUUGAAAAAUUAUAAAAAUUUCAAGUUAGAUUGUCUUGGAUUUUAGGAUGUAUUAAGGCUAUCUCCAUGUAUUAGAGAAUAUAAGAAAUUCUAUUUAACAAUUUAAAAAAUUAUAAGAUUUUUUUGUAGCCUUAUCCUUGCAAUUGAAGUAGGAGAUUAAAUCCGAAACUCUUGUCGAAAUUGGGCAAGCAUGCUAGCCUGAAAAGAUUGGUUCCGUCGGAAAACAAGAGGGGUUGGUCAAUAUCGGUUUCAGAAAGUUUCAAAUUGAAAACUUUAAAAAAUUAUUUAUAAGUCGAUCAACCCAAUUAAUAUCAACUGACACUUACUCAUCAAUGUCGAUUUUGUAAAAAAUACCAUCUCCGACCGACCGAUUAACACCGAAGUCGGGAACUUACGCAUACUAGAUAAGUGUAGAGUAUAUAUAUCUUUUUCAAAUUUGAUUAAAUUACCAAAUAUUAUAUCCAAUUCUCUCUCUACCCUUUUUUUAUCUGCGUUCCCGCCCGCCGCUCGGUGAACUCAUUUGCGCAGCUCUUUCCUCUUUCUCUUCUUUGUCUUCCUCUCGGCUUCACAAUCUUCAUCGUCAAUCUUUGAUCCAGCCUAAGAAGGCGCUGUACAUUAUAGGGUUUUAAGUAGAAGGUGAGUUUUCAGAUUGCUUUUAUAUCUUCUGUCAAGCUAUGAUGCUUUUGGUACUUAUCGACCACUUUCUCAUGCAAGAAUAUUUGAGUUUGAGAAUUAUUUGCUGAAAUUUUUAUGGGUUUAUGGAGUAUUUUCUACUUUGUUUUGGCGGAGUUGAGUUUGCUUCUUAGGUGUAGAGAAGUUUGUUCAGUGUUGUUUUUGUUUUUGAGGCUACAACUCAAUGAAAAAACUCAUUGAGUUCAUGGAAUUAGGGUUUUAUCUUGUUUAAUGGGGAACAGGCAUGUUUGGUAUUGAUUUUGUGCAUUGUACUGGUAGUCGAGAUCGCAUUGCCAUCUUACAGUUGCUUAUUCUUUUUUUUCUUAUUUUCUUGAUAGUUAUUAGACAAUUGAAACCUCAUAAUUCAACCAAAAUGGCGGCCUUCAAUCUCGUUGCGGAUAUGUAUGACCCGGCCUUGAAGCCUCGCUUGCUACAUAAACUUCUUAGGGAGCACGUUCCCGACGAUAAGCGUGCAUUUUCUGAUUAUUCAGAACUUUCAAAUGUGGUUUCUAUGAUCACAUCCCACGAUCUUCUCUCUGAAUCCUCGUCUUCCAAGGACCAAAAGCUGAUUGAUAGCUGGAAAUCCGCUGUUGAUUCCUGGGUCAACCGUUUGUUUCUUCUUCUCUCCAACGAUAUGGUAUAAGCAUGCAUUAAAUUCUAUUUAAAUAAUUUUUUUAAUAAUACAUAGCUUUUGCUUUAUACUCCCGUGGAUUUGACUAUUUGUCGGCUGCCGGGCUUAUGUGUAGCUUGUUCGAAGAACAGCUGGAACGAAGUUCAGUGGAACUUGUUAAGUUUCAUAAUCAAUGAGUUCGCUGCUGGUUAUUGAGAGAAAAUUUAUAGUUAGUGUUAAUCUAGAAAGUUUGUCGCCUUAGAGCGCCCUUUGCGCUUUGAAAACACCGUUUAAUUCUUAGAAACUGAACAUUUGAACCUUGCUUGCAUAUUUGGCAAUUCAUUGGCAUGCAGGAAGAUAGGGAAUAAUAUUGACUGUCUUUAUUACUUUGUUUUUUAGAUAUUGCUCAACUUCCUUUUGUGGGUUACUAAUUUUAGCAUCCAAUCUUUCUAAAGCCUGAUAAAUGUUGGGCGGGAAUCAUUUUACUUGGAGUGACUUGUCAACGAUGCAGCUCUAGUCGUUUCUUGGCAUCAUAUACAGAAUGGCUUCACAAGCUUUUACCUCACAUGCAGGUAACAGUUAGUUUUUUAUGGGAUUGAUUCUAUAUUAUUUCUUUACAUGUAUUAAGUGGCAAAAAUGUUAAAUUAUAGUGUACACAUGAAGAAGAAUAAGAGUUAAAUGAUAAGUUAUUCCAUCAGAACUAAGAUACCGGUUACUGUUUGGGACACAUAACUGCAAUAAUUCAACUAUGCUUUUGAGCAUGUGAUGUGGCUGGAUCGUCUUUGACAGUCGACCUGUUUGACUACAGUAAAUAUGUUUGUUCUGAAAUUUGGGUAUGAUUGGUUGUAAGAUAUUCAUCAAAAUGAGUUCUGGACAUGAUUUGUGACAAUAAGUGAUUAUUGUUUCUUGGAAAGAAUGCAAAAUCACGCAUUGGGGGUUUCCAAGCUCUUAUUCUUUUCAUUAAUAUAGGAUUGAACAAGUAAGAUAAACUACGGAUGAAAUAGCAGGUCUAACCAGCUCUCCUCGUACAUGAGGGUCCCCAAAGACAUGCAUCGGGCAUGUAUCUGAUUAGCAUAAGAUAGCCUUUGGCAACACUUAAUGAUUGUGGAGCUACUGAAGGACCUAAUGCACUGCUAUUCUUGAGCAUGGUUAUCUGAUAUUUUAUCAAGUGUUAUACAAAGUGCAAUUUUUUUUUCUUCUGAAGACACAAAAGAAUAUAUUGAUCACAAAUAGUGUGUGACGUAGUUCCAGAGCAAUGUCAAGUUCCUUCUUUUUCUGUUCCUUUUAUUUAUAUUGUUUCUGUCUUUAGCUUUACAACUUAUAAUCAUCAAUGCUUUUUUUUAUACUUGAAUGCUACCAAGAAUUUUACAACGUUUUCAUUUUUUGUGUUUUUAUUGUUCAAUAGACAGAUUCUCAGUUUCUGAAGGUGGCCUCUUGUGCUUCAAUCUAUGAUUUAUUCUCGAGGUACAUCUUCAUUUGACCUUGGCAGAAAUCUAUCACACGAAGUUGUCCCUCAAACACAACCCUUUUUUUUAUUCGAAAUGGUAACAAUGUCAUUGAUAAGAUGAAAUUAUAAAAGGAUACCUAUCAAUUGGAUUACAAAAAACUCUUCCAUCGAGUAAUAAGAGAAACUAAAUCAUAAUUAUAAAAAGGGGUAACCAAUUCACCCCAAGUGAGGGUUGUAUGUGUCACUCAAACACAAAUUGAUUUGUUAACUAUACCCCUUCCAAAAGCGAAAUUUUUAUGUGCCUUGUGUAUAUUUAACUGAAUACCUCUUAGGAUUUGUUUAUUGUUGAUUCUACAUCGACUUUGUGGUCUGUGGAUUCAACUAUUGAAUGCUGACUUGAGAAUAAUAGAUAACUGAUUGAAUCACAUUCUGUAAGUUAUUACUGUCAAGUCGUUUUAUUGCCAAUAUGAGCAUAGAACUAUUGGUUAAGGCAUAUAUCCCACCUCCAUAUGUUGUUGAGCUUAAAAAUAAAAAUUGUCUAUUUAUUUAUUUUUUAAAAUAAAAUAACCACUUUCAUUGAGCAAAAUCAAAGAAAAUUGUCUAAAACUUUUAAGCAAUAUGCUUGACCAUAUUAUUGCUUGUUUCGUGACUUUUUAAGAUGUAUCUUUUACAAAUUAGAUUGGGUAGAUUUCAAAGUGUAAAGAAAGAUGGGACUUCUUGUGCUGGGAAGGUCAUUCAACCUGUUGCAUGAUGAUAAUACUGAAGCUGUUUUGGUAAGUCCAUUUUUCAUGGACUAUUUUCAUGCAUUCAUGAGCUAAAUAAUUUUGUAACAAUGGUAUUUUAAUUAUCUAUGCCAACUGAGAUCCUCUUUUGUAAAAAUUUCUUAGUCUUUUGUGAAAUUUUUCAUCUCUCUUUUUGUACUCUUGCUUGGUAUUGGUAGUUGCAACUUUUGUUUUAAAAUAUGUAACUAUCUGCAUGUUGUUUGAUGCAGGAUAAUGCGGUUAAUCUGUUAUGCACCUUGAUAGAUUUCUUCCCCUUCACAAUCCAUCGUCAUUAUGACUCUGUAAGUGCUUUAACAAAUAAUGUGAUAUUGAUUCUGUUUUAAAUUACAAUUUUGGAACUCUGGUAGCUUUCUGACUUUUCUGUUCACUGGUGAUGUAAUCUAAGCUUCCGAAGUUUGUUAUUAUUAUCGUUAUUAUUUUUAAUUUGAUUUAGUUUAAUUUUUUUCCUUCACAAAAAAACUGCUAUAAAAAACUGGAAAGAGAGUGUUUGUAUUACCAUUAGAAGCUGAAAUAAUUAAAUUUUCUCCCAUAAUUGCACUCAACAUCUUCAGCACAUAUGGCUUCAUGCUGUCACUUGUCAGCAUGUUGUUUAUCUAUAGAUCACUAUCUUUGUAAUUCAAAAACUGACAAAGUUUAAAUUCCAUGCCAAAUAGAAAAAAAGGAUUUAUGUUGAAAUAGUUGAUUUUGUUUCUUCCUGAUGAAUUGGAUAUAUUCUAUAGGCCGAAGCUGCAAUUGUUUCAAAAAUAUUUUCAGGGAAGUGUAGUUCUAACAUGCUGAAGGUACUGUGCCUCUUAUGUAGUUUUAAUCAUAGUACAGUAGAUAUUAACGUCAAAUGUCCCCCAUAAUUUUCUCUGUGUUUUAUAUUUCAAAUUUAGAAGCUUGCCCAUUGCCUGGCAUCACUUCCAAAAUCAAAAGGAGACGAAGAUAGCUGGUCUUUACUAAUUCAGAAGAUUUUGUUAUCCAUCAAUAGUCACUUGAAUGAGGCCUUCCAAGGCAUCGGUGAAGGUAUACUGAACUGUAAAACAAGUAAAGCUAUCUCAAUUUAUGAAAAUGGUGACAAUGAUGCAUUUGAAUGUUUUUUGUAGAUUCAAAAGGCAUUGAAGUUGUAAGGUUACUGAUUCUACCAGGAAAAGAUCCUCCACCACCUUUAGGUUGUUGUUCACAAUCAGAAGGUUCCUUGGACAAAAUAAAAAAGAGCUCAGAGCGGAUGUUAACAUCUAGUAUUUCAACCUUGAUGGUUUGCUGUUCCACAAUGAUAACAAGUUCAUACAACCAUCAGGUAGCAACACGUCAUCCAUUUUUUUGUUAUGCUCAUAUUAAAAGAGGAAAUGUUCCCCUCUAUAUGAAUCUAUAUACAUCUACUGUGACACCUCACUUUCUUAAUUAAUAUAAUGAAAUAAAGAAAGUGGUGUUAAAUUGAUCUUUAUUUGUAUUAUAUCAGGUGGCAGUUCCCAUUCGCCCGUUAUUAGCUCUUGUUGAGAGAGUGCUGACGAUGGAUGGUUCUUUGCCACCCACUUCAGUGCCAUUUAUGACAUCUCUGCAGCAAGAAUCAAUGUGUUUAGAACUUCCGGUGCUGCAUUCAGUCAGUUUGGAUCUCCUCGUUGCCAUCAUUAAGAGCCUUCGCAGGUGAGGCAUCUACUAUUCAACUACACGGACUAUAUACCAUAAAACCUUUAUGCAGACCCAGACUUUUUCAGUAAUCAAUACCCAUCCAUAAACAUAUCACAUGUGCUUUCUUCCACCUCUACAAGAUGCGAUCAACAAUGAUCUUUCAUGUUUAUAUGAAUACGAAAAUGAUCCAAUGGUAUACAAAGUUUCCACUUAGAUAAGUUGGGAAGAAAAUGUGUGAAGUCUAGCCUGUCAAUUGCCACUGAAAAAAAUAUGGAUGCCAUAUUUUUGUUUAUAUAAUUAUUAUUAAAUUCCUUUUCAGUCAAUUGUUGCCACAUGCUGCAUCAAUUGUACGACUCAUUGUGAAGUACUUCAAGAAGUGUGUCUCUGCAGAACUGAGAGUAAAAGUCUACGCAGUUGCUAAGUCAUUGAUGACGUCUUUGGGUGUUGGUAAGAAUUAUAUUGUGUUUCAUUUGGCAUGGAGAUAAUUAUAAUUAUUGUUUUAAUGUCUAUAUGGAAACAUUGUUUUGGGAUGUAUACUUAUUCAAUGCCGCAUUUGAAUCAGGAAUGGCUGCAUCUCUUUCUCGAGAUGUGAUUGACAAUGUACUAGGUGAUUUGAACCCUGUAAAUAAUGAGAGUUCUGAUCCAUCUAAUGUGAAUCCAAAGGACACGCAAAGAGAUUUACCGCAACACCAUAAUAAGAGAAAACGCCCUUCAGUUCCCACUUCCAUGAAAGCGGCAGCACGAGAGGAAUGAACCAGAGGACAUUACCAGCAGCUGUAGCUAUACCUCAGUCCACUUGAGGAUAGCUGCACUUGAGGCUUUGAAGACUCUUCUUACAUCGGUGGGCAUUAUAUAUGUUAUUUGUCUCUUUGGUUAAUUAUUUUGCAUACGAAUUUAUUAAAAAAAGUUAUUAAUGGGAAUAUUUUUGGUUCAUUUGUGUCAAAUGGUUUUUAACUGCUGACUGCUUUAUUUAUUUAUUUGUUUGUUUGUUUUUCGUUGAUUAUUUGUAUAGGCUGGUGCUUUGAGAUCUGAAGAAGGAUGGCGUGCAAAAGUUGAACAUCUUUUAAUAACAACUGCAACAUCUUCUCUUCAAUGGCCACGAGCCUCGGACGACACCUUUUUCCAAGCCAAUGAAUCUAUUGAGGUUUGGGUGGAUUAUCAGUUGGCGGCAUUUCAUGCACUACUGGCUUCUUUUUUGUCUGCUGUCCAUGUACGCCCACUGGCUUUGGCUCAAGGUCUCGAGCUCUUUCGUAAAGGUAAAUCUCUUUUGAUAUUUCGUUUGAUCAUGUGGAAGGCUGGGUUUGAGAACGAGGAUGCUAGAUCACCUUAUUUAUGAGUCAAACUGAUAGGCAUUUUCUUCUUCAGGUAAACAAGAAAAUGGAACCAAACUUGGUGAGUUUUGUGCCCAUGCUCUCUUAGCCAUGGAGGUUCUAAUACAUCCGAGGGUCCUUCCCCUCUCGGAUUUCUUGCCAUUGCGCUUGAGCUCUCCUGAACCACAAGCUGCCUUUAAAUUCCAGGAAGAUCUGUACUUCAACAGUAACGAUUCUAGGAAAUUGUUGAAGGUCGGCCCGCAAAGCAUGGAGCAGAUGGCCUCCGAGGCUCUAAUUAGUGAUGAUGUGGUAGAUAACAAUGAAAUGACGUAUAGCACCUCAAAUGAUAUUGAAAAGGAGCCCUCUGCAAAUGGCAUAGCGAAUAUAGAAAUGCCCAAGAGAACCGAACAGGCCACUGCAGCAGCCAUCUCAGAAGUAGGGGUUGUAGCGGAAGAUGACGUUGAAUUUGCUAAUGCAAGUAUGAAUAGUUCCCCCAUGUCAUCAAAAUCAGAUAAAAUCGAAGAUUUUGGACGGGAUUCGAGCUCGAAUUUAUUGCUAGAAGAUGACUUUCCUGAUAUUAUUGAUGCAGAUCCUGAUACAGACUAUGAAGAGUGAAAAAGGUAUUGUCAAUCAUUGACUCAAUUUUGUAGUUUUAAGGCUUAAGGGUGUUGUUCAGAACUCAAAAUCAAUUAUUAUUGUUGUGUUCUAUUCAUGUAGCCAUAGAUGGCUUGAACUGAUGAUCGAGAAUGGUUAUGUAUAUAAAAAGGUGAAAGUUAGACAAAUUUCAAAAGCUUUGAUUGCUAGUUUCUGAUAAAUUUUCUUUCAAUCAUUUUUAUUUUUUUUCAUUCUUAGAUAAUGGGGUGCCGAUUUGCAAUAUACGUUAGGACAACGAUUAGAUGCAUUAUAGAAUAUACCAUCUUUUAAGUAAUGGUAUUAGAUACGGUAGGACAACGAUUAGAUGUAUUAUAGAAUAUACCAUCUCGUAAGUAAUAUGGUAUCUUUUUGAAGUCCUAAAAUGUUGAGGGAUAAAUUUGUGGGUAUUACAAUCUCGAGAUGUAGUUAAGAUCAACAAUAUCUAAAUAGGCAAUUAAAUAAACAAUGUCUAAAUAGACGAUUAAAUGAACCCUUUAGAAAGAGAGGCAAAAAUAAAAUGACAGAGUGAAGUUUCUUUAAAAAAACUUUUUAAAAAUUAUUGUUUUGAUAAUAACUGAUCGUAGUUAACUACUAGUGCUCAGUCUCUUUUUACAUCUUACUCUAACUUAUCAUCAUGUUUGAAUCAAUUUUUAACUUAUCAUCAUGUUUGAAUCAAUUUUAGGGUUAAGUGAAUGUCAAGUGAAUGUAUUUUGUUCUUACAACAUAUGUGUUAGUGAAUGUAUUUUGUUCAAACUCAAUUAAUUUAGGAAAAAUGUUUUAAAUAAAAAACUAUUUAAAACAUUUACAAAUAUUAAAAUUUAUAUGUUUAUUAGUAUUUUUGUUAAUUAAUUUUGAAAUUUUAGUCUGUUUUGUAAAUAUGGUUUAUUUUGCUAUUUUGAAAACAAUCCAUUUGAAUGUUGUUUUGUUUAAAUUAUUAGAAUUGUAUUAUUGGAUAAAUAGACAUUUUAAAAAAUAGCAAAAUAUUAAAACUAUUUAUACAAAAUUCCUCAAACUUUUCAUAUAUUUAAGUUUUUCUUUAAAAUUAUAUUUCAUAAAUAGUUUUUUUUUAUCCAUAACAAAUUUUCAUGAUAAAUGGUAAAGCAUAUUAAAUAUGUAAAUAGUUCAACUCAGUUAAUUGUAAUUUGGUCCAUAUCAUACUAAAAAAGUUAUAUGUAUGUUAUUUUAAAAGAGUUCAUAUCAUACAGUUUCUUAAAUUUUAGGUACCAAACUUAUAAGAUACAAAAAUCAAAGUUUAAAAAGAGUAAAAUUUUGGCAUUCUAUUUCUAGAAAAAAAACUCCUUAUAAUAAUUACUAGUAAAAAAAAAAGUUGGUUGAUUUUCAUUUUUUUUUUAAUCUCAACCUUUCAUGUUAAAACUUUAUAUAAAGAUUUUUUUUUUAAAUGACAAAUUUAACAGUAAGUCAAUUUGAUAAAUAUUGAUAGACAUUAAUAUGAUAAUAAAUAUGGAUAGAUAUUCAUAUGUUUUUAUCUGACAAUAAUAGAAGUUUAUUUAGUUUAUCUCGUUAAUAAAAUCUAAAAUGUUUGUCUAUGAUGAAUAUUUUAGUUUAUUUUUGUAUUUUAAAAAAUAUCCCUCCAAAAAACGUAAUUUUUUUCCACUAAAAGUUAUUAAAAUUUAAUAACAAGAGUUGGUGAAUUGCUACAUUGUUAUUUCAUUUAUAUGUCAUUUACAUCCCAUUGUAAUUUACAGAUUUUUUUUUUCAAAUGGUAUGGGUAAGUAAUCAGUGCGGUUUAGUGUAAGGAUUAGUUAUAUUCAAAUUAUAGCAAACUAUCUUAAUUUGAAACUUAACGGCGUCAACGACAAGCAACGGCGUCAACGACAAGCAACGGCUACAUUUUUAGGUUUAUUUACUUCAUUCAACUCUCAAAACAAUCUCCGUCGCCAAUUUCUCUCUAGAAUUUUCUUCUUCCGCCUCCGUGCACAGCGUCGAAUCUCCAAACCCUAAUUUAUAAAUGCAAUUCCGAUCCACAAAUUCUUAUGCUACCUCGAUCUCCUCUUUGGGAGCUUCUAUUCCCUAAUCUUUGAUGUCUUGCUUCGUCUGCGGUUGAGGAUCUCGGAGGACCGGAGUCACGGGAGGUCGCUGAUUUGGAUGAAGCCAUGAGUCGAUUGAUGCUCCCUUUUUCAUCUCCUAAGAAGAAUUCCAAAUCCUUGGAUGUGGCUGAUGCUGCUCCUGCCUAUCAUUUUUCAUCCGCUUGAUUUCCUUCCCUUUCUGGUUCAGCUUAUUCUGCUCUCGAUAGGGUUUCCGAGGAUGCUAUCAAUCAGGUUGAUCAGUUCCUUCGUGAGGCUUUGCAUAACCCUCGGGAGCGUCUAUCAAGUAAGUUGUUUAUUUAGCUUUCCUUUAUUGUAGAUGGUCAAUGGUGUGAUUGGUUUCAGGAGUUGUCUAAUGUCAUGUUCUGUAGAGGGAGGAGAUAGUUAAAAGUUGCUAGCUACGGCCUUCUCGAAGGUGGGCUGGAAGUGGCUGGUUGCUUCCCGGAUUUGUAUAGGCUUUUAGUUUGUUCUAGUCUUUCGAAUGCCUCAUUUAAAUCAAUGGUAUUAGAAAUUUAGAAGUAUUAUUGCCAAAAACUACAUGGUGGAUUUCAUGAAGAUGUGAUAUAUGUUUGGAACAGUAUCGUGAAACUAUGUGACAUGAUGUGCUUUUAGGUAAUCCAAGACAAAGGUUGGAUGGUUGUAAGACAAUCUUGGGAAGAUGUGUGGACUAGUGGAGGGUUUUUGGUUAACCGUUUUUCUAGUCGGUACAGGGGGUGGAUUCGAAGAAUUAAUUGCUGAAGGAGUUGUAGGACUUAAAAGCUGGGUUGCAAAAUGAAUGCAAGACGAAAUUUAGAAGAUGGAGAAGAAAGGGAGAUUUUGUUGCUAUUGGAUGUUCUGAAUACUUAGAGCUAAAUGAUGAAAAUAAAAUAAUUUACGAGCUAAACUUUUGCUGUGAUUGGCGAUGAAUUCCGUCAUGGGGGGAAGGCAUGCAGUCUCUGAUUAUCAUCCCCUUGGCCCUUAGGCUUUUUAAAUGAGGCUUUUUCCGUCUUAAUAAUAUUUCUUGUUUCUCAUCAAGAAGAUAAAUGGAGUUAUCUUUUCAGCCUACCAAGCAAAAUUGUUUCUAAAAAAAAAAACUAUCACUAUCUAAAAGCAUUAGGAAUUAAAUUUACUGUAGUCAAGAAGAUGCUCAGUAACUGGAAAGCAUUUUUUACCUGUUUUGACACUGAAGCUUCGUUAAACCAAAAAAAAAGGAGACAACCUAUUGGUAGAAAGGUCUUUACAAUGAUGUAUUGAUGCCUACAAAAUUAUUUUUUUUGUCUAACAUGGUUCUGACUAGUACCAUAACUUCAAGUGCUUAAUUAUUAUCAUGCACUUAUUAUAUUGUUGAAAACAUGGUGUUAAUUAUCUAUUCCCUUCAACUGAUAUUUAUUUAUCAUUGCUUUAGUUUUGCGCAUGGAGCAAGAUGUUGAAAAGUUUAUUCAUGAUCCUGCUUGACAGCAGCUGCCUACUUCAUAUUUACGGUUAGCUGCGCAUCAGAUUGUCCAACAUUACUCGCUGCAAUCCAUGGUUCUAUUGGAUAAUAGUUUACCUGAUGGGUCUGGUUCCAAAAUUAUCGUUUGCGAUACUUCUGAAUGUCGUCUUCCAGCUAUCCGCCUUGCAGAUAUUCCUGUAAAUCUACCAGCAGAGGAAUAUAGUAGCAUAAAGGUUGCUAUUAAACAGAGGCCACAGAAGUGGUCCCAACUAGCAAGAGAUGCAAGUGCAAAUUCAUCAAAAACGAGGGAUUCCAAAAGUGUGGAAGAGAGGAAAGAGGAGUAUAAUAAAGCUAGUGCUCAAAUAUUUAACUCCAGCAGCAAUUCAGGCUGUCAUGCAAGUGAGAAAGUAGAUGCUGAUCCUAGACCACAGGAUAGUUAUCGUGGUUGUUUGAGUGCUGCAAAGGUUGAGGAGAAGAUGAUUCUUGGAGUUCCUGAUAUAAAUUUUAGUAGGGGUUUGAUUGACUGUUCCACGAGUAGCAGUAGAAUAAAUAGAAGGUAGGACUGACAAGGAGCUGCCUAGUAGGCAGUACAAACCAAAUAGUAGGGUAGCCAUUCUUAGAGAUCGUGAGAUUGGCAGCAAGGACCCUGAUUAUGACAGGAGUUAUGAUAGGUAUGAAAUGCAAUCCUUUAUUCUCUUGGUUUGAUCUCAAUGUGUGUGUAUAUACAUAUAUAUUUGCAAAAUCUCUCGUUUAAAAGGUCUAUCCAAAAACAUGUUCUAAAAGUUUUCUCGCUUCAAACUCUGUUUACGAACUCUUUCCAAAACACUUCUUGGACAUUUCUCUUUGUUUUUGUUGUUUUUCUUUGAAAAAUAAGAUAUUUUACAAAACUUCUGAAAAACUGCAUGAGCAAGGAUGUUGGCCACACACAGGGCAAUGAGCAGCAAGGCAACAUGCACCAUGGUGCGCGGAAGAUGUUGUCUUGGUGCCAUCUUUGCACAUGCGGAAGCGAACUUUCAAAUGGCAUUUACAAAGCAUUGUGGAAAACACUUUUUUUUCUUCCUAUUUUCUUCUAGAAAGUCUUUCCAGAACAUAUGUAUAUAUAUGUGUGUGUAUAUACAUAUAUAUUUGCAAAAUCUCUCGUUUAAAAGGUCUAUACAAGAACAUGUUCUAAAAGUUUUCUCGCUUCAAAUUCUGUUUACGAACUCUUUCCAAAACACUUCUUGGACGUUUCUUUUUUUUUGUUUUUGUUUUUUUCUUUGAAAAAUAAGAUAUUUUACAAAACUUUUGAAAAACUGCAUGAGCAAGGAUGUUGCCACACACAGGGCAAUGAGCAGCAAGGCAACAUGCACCAUGGUGCGCGGAAGAUGUUGUCUUGGUGCCAUCUUUGCACAUGCGGAAGCGAACUUUCAAAUGGCAUUUACAAAACAUUGUGGAAAACACUUUUUUUUCUUCCUAUUUUCUUCUAGAAAGUCUUUCCAGAACAUAUGUAUAUAUAUGUGUGUGUAUAUACAUAUAUAUUUGCAAAAUCUCUCGUUUAAAAGGUCUAUACAAGAACAUGUUCUAAAAGUUUUCUCGCUUCAAAUUCUGUUUACGAACUCUUUCCAAACACUUCUUGGACGUUUCUUUUUGUUUUUGUUUUUGUUUUUUUCUUUGAAAAAAAAUAUUUUACAAAACUUUUGAAAAACUGCAUGAGCAAGGAUGUUGGCCACACACAGGGCAAUGAGCAGCAAGGCAACAUGCACCAUGGUGCGCGGAAGAUGUUGUCUUGGUGCCAUCUUUGCACAUGCGGAAGCGAACUUUCAAAUGGCAUUUACAAAACAUUGUGGAAAACACUUUUUUUUCUUCCUAUUUUCUUCUAGAAAGUCUUUCCAGAACAUAUGUAUAUAUAUGUGUGUGUAUAUACAUAUAUAUUUGCAAAAUCUCUCGUUUAAAAGGUCUAUACAAGAACAUGUUCUAAAAGUUUUCUCGCUUCAAAUUCUGUUUACGAACUCUUUCCAAAACACUUCUUGGACGUUUCUUUUGUUUUUGUUUUUGUUUUUUUCUUUGAAAAAUAAGAUAUUUUACAAAACUUUUGAAAAACUGCAUGAGCAAGGAUGUUGGCCACACACAGGGCAAUGAGCAGCAAGGCAACAUGCACCAUGGUGCGCGGAAGAUGUUGUCUUGGUGCCAUCUUUGCACAUGCGCGAACUUUCAAAUGGCAUUUACAAAACAUUGUGGAAAACACUUUUUUUUCUUCCUAUUUUCUUCUAGAAAGUCUUUCCAGAACAUAUGUAUAUAUAUGUGUGUGUAUAUACAUAUAUUUGCAAAAUCUCUCGUUUAAACAGUCUAUCUAAAAUUAUUUUCUAAAGGUUUUAUCGCUUUAAAUUCUAUUUACGAACUCUUUCCAACAUAUUUCUUGAAUUGUUGUCUUCCUUUGCGGUUUUGUUUUGUUUUCCUCAAAAAGAUGAUAUUUCACAUAACUUUCGAUAAACUGCACGAGCAAGGGUAUUGGCCACACAGGGCAAAUUUUAUUUUAAAAGGCCUAUCCAUUAACAGUUUCUAAAAGUUUUCUCACUUCAAAUUUUGUUUUUAAAAUCGUUUCAGAAUCUUUUCUUGAAGUUUCGUCUUCAACUUUUUUUAUAAAGAAAAAAAAAACAUUUCAUUCAACUUUCAAUAUACUCGGCGAGCAAGACAGCAUACAGUCGAUGUGUGGAAGACACAGCCUUGGUGCCACUAUGGCACAGGCAGUCAAACAAACUUACAUAAUAUUGUCUUACCUUUUUUCUCUUCUUUUUUUUUCUCUAAAAAACUCUUUCCAAAACACAUUUUCAAUUUAGAAAAAACACAUUCUCUCCAAUGUAGAUUUUGCAAAAUAAAUUCUGUGUAUAAAUAUUACUUGAGAGUGAAUUUUCACUUUUGUGUUUUUUCUAUAUCUUACAUUUAUCUCUUCAUGAUUAUUGGAUAUGUGCUGUAACUUUUCUCGUAUGUUUCCAUAUAAAUUACAAAUGUUGUAUAACAUUUAUCAAUGUAGAAAAAAUCUUAGGUGAUUAAAGGAAAGUUGAUUGUCCAGAAAUUACUUUUUCCUAUUUCAUCAUCAACCGACCUCAAGGCCUCCUAUGGUUGUUCUAUUUUUCAUUUUUAUUUUCUUGAAAUUAAGUCUAUAAACGCUCAUUCUACCUUUAGUUAUACGUUCUAAAAUUAUAUUAUAUUUUAGUUUGACUUCUUGUAUAUUAUUAUUUUGGUACAUUUCUACCAUUUCUACAUUUUAUUUGCACAUAAUUAUAUGUUCUUUUUAUAAUGAUAGAUAACUUCUUUGUUACAAUGUCCAGUUAUUUGACAAUCAUUCAUUUCUAGUUCUGAUUAAUUUUUCUUUGUUAUCACGGGGCACUUUACAGGUAUUUUUAUUUUACUUCUUUUGAUGGAUUUAUUUUUCUUUAGUUUUUCUUCCAACAUUUUCUCUCUCAUCUUUUUCUACUUUUCUUAAGUAUAUUAUUAAAUUUUAUAUCUCUGGAGUCUUGGUAGAAGUUAUUUAUUUUUGCGGUAGGGGUGAUUUCUCUUUUUUGCCCAUUCUGUUUUCUUGGUUCUCUUUCUUUUUUUAUACAAUGGUAACUGAAACAUUCAAAGCCUUGCUUUCGGCUUCCCUAGCUAGCCACAGUGAUGUAUUAUAUGCAAAUGGCAGUUUUCCUUUGGACACUGAGAAAAGGCAAAUGCAAAUGGCAACUGCACGGUACACCUUACAGGACAGUUUUUGAUGCUUUUGCAGGUAAUUUGUAUUAGUUGUGUUAUGUCUGGAAGUGAUUUUAUAUUAUUAUAGUUGUACUAGAUGUUCUAUCCUUGGGACGCAGAGAAAAGGCAAAUGCAAAUGAAGAGUACACACUGUCCUGGAUGAUACUUUGCAGGUAAUUUGUAUUAGUUGUUAUGUCUGGAAGCGAUUUUAUAUUAUCAUAUUGUUAGUUGUUAUAAGUAAUUCUGAAGUCUGACAAUGAUUAUUUAGAGUGAAAUCUGGGCAGGUUUGUUGGAGACAAACCGUCUGACAUACAUGAUUUAUGUUCUUUGUAGUUCUGUGCUCAUUGCCUAUGUGAGUAUAGUCUACUUUCUUGUCCUCACAAUCUUUUCCCAACCUUUUCAUGUCUUUCAUAUUUUGAACUGCAUUCAUGGUUUUCGUAUAACUAUAAUAGACGCUCUUAUUCUUUUACUGUGAAACCACUUUUAGUUAUCUAUUUGCAAUAUGCUGUAUGUUCUAUUAGACAGCUACUUGUAGGAGUAUAGAUGAUGAAAUAAACAGAUUUAUUUUGUUAGACGAAAUCUAGUUGAGGAAUUUGACGUUUUUCUUCCUUUAUGUAAAAUCCUAAUAUUAGAAAACUAAGCAAAAGCAGAAAUAGUUUGCAGAGCUGUAGCUUAGGAAUUAUUUUCCUCAAUUUGACUUGAUGUUUGACGCAGGUAUAUGGAUGGGUGAUGGAUAUAUUGCUUUUGAGUGAUUUUUCACUUUUGUAUUCAUUUCUCUUUACCAUUACGGGAUCUGUCUUAUAACCUUUCUCAUGAUUUUCUACGUGAAUUGCAAUUGUUGUAUAAUAUUUUAUCAUAUUAGAAAGAUAUGAGGUGAUUAAAGAAAAAUUGAUUGUCCGGAAAUCAAUUUUUCUUAUUACACCUCAUGUCAAUGCCCAAAUUCCAUAACCAUUUGGUUAUUGUUAUCUUAAAAUUUUGAAAAUUGAGUCUAUAAACACUCAUUCUACUAGAAUUAUAUCAUAUUCUUUAGUUUGAUAUCUUGUAUAUUAUUAUUUUGGUACAUUUCUUUUGUCUUAUUCGCACCAAAUACCACGUUUCUUUGUUUGUUUGCAUGUGGUGCUUUCAAGGUAUUUUUCCUUUACCUCUGUUGACAAAAAAAUAUUUUGUGUACUUCUUCUUGGUACAUUUUCCUUUUCUUCUCAUCAUUUGCUACUUUAUUUUAAAGUAGAUUAUGAAAUUUUAUUUAUUUAUUUUUGGUGGAUGAAUUUUUGUUUUUGUUUUUGUUUUUUUUUGCCAUUUAUGAUCUCUUGUUGGUUCUUUUUCUUUUUUGAUGUUAGUUUUUUUAGUUUUGGAUUUGAAUUGAUAUUUACUCCUUUUGAAUGUGGUCUUUUAUGAGAAGGUAAAAAAAUUUAUCUUACUUUUUAAUGCCAUUCAUUGUAAUUUUAUUUUUGGUAUCUUUUUUUUUUACUUCACUUGUGUAAUUUAUUUUUCUUGGAUGGUGAAAUUUUUUUCACCAUUUAGCUGUGUUUAGUUUCUUUUUAUGUUACAUUCUUAUUUUGUUUGCUUUCUCUAGUUUUAUUUUGUUUUUUUUUUCAAUUAUUUGUAAUUUGUUUUACCAUUUUUAUAAUAUUAUUUUCUUUAGGUCUAUUAUUAUCAGAUAUAUAUUUUGUGGUCAUGGUAGAUUUUUUCAUUAAGGAUAUUUUUUUAAAUUGCAAAAUAAAUUAAAAUAUUUAGUCUAUUGUAAAAUUUUGAAUUCUAUCAACGAUAAAAAUGAUAGACAUUUAUCACUGUCUAUUAUUGUUUAUUAUUGAUAGAAUCUAAAAUUUUGCUAUAUGUUGUAAAUAUUUUGUCAAAUUUGUCAUUUUUGACAUUUUCACUUUUCAUUAUCGUCAUGGAUUCUCUUUUUUCACACUUCGUCUCUUUUCUUUUAUUUAACCUUUCUUUAUGAAAUGUUGUAUCUUUCUGCUUUUCUCUCAAGUGAAAUAUUAGAUUUGGUACUUUUUCUUUUACUCAUUUGGUACAUUUCUUGUUGAACCAAGGUAUAAUUUGUUCUUCUUUGAUGGUUCAAAAUAAUCACUCUACGUUUGACUUUGGUUCUUUUAUUAUCUGGCACAACUUUUAUAUAUAGUUAUUUUCUUUGGUAAAUUUAUUAUAUUAUUAGAUAUAUUAAUUUGUUAGUUUUGUGUACUAUCCAAGGCAGUAAAGAAGUGUAGAAUGACAACUCCUUUCUAUUUUCUAAUUCACUUUUACAAAUAUUAGUUUUAGUAGUUUUUUAUUUUACUCAUUUGGUCAUAUAUUUCUUUUCUUUUGGAAUGGAUGUGUAAUUUUAUUUUUGUUGGAUGGUUUGAAAUAUUUAGGUUCAUGUUGUCAUUCUUCUAGUUUUAUUUUUGAAUAAUUAUAAUUUGUGACAAUUUUUAGAAUAAUGACUAAGUGUAGUAAUUAGAGGUUUAAGAAUAACUUGGGUAAUCCGACAACUUGGAUUAUCCAAUCCAUAUUAUAUGGGUUGGGUUGGGUUAGGUUAAAAUAUGGAUUGGAUUGGAUUGGGUUGGGUUGAAAAAAUGAAUUUUUUUUAGUUGGGUUUAGUCUCGGGUUGUAAGGUUGAAAAAUUCGAUCAUAUAUAUAUAUAUAUAUAUAUAUAUAAAUAAAUAUUCCUCUCUUCUCACUCUCAAUCCUCCUUUGCGCGUCGCAUCCCUUUUAUUCUCACAUCUCCUACGUCUUCGACAUCUCCUUCGUCUCUGACUUUCCUUCAUCUCUGACUCUCCUUGUCCUACUUAUCCCGCGCAUUCCUUAUAUUAUCACAUCUCCUCCGUCUUCGACAUCUUCAUUUCUAACUCUCCUCUAUCUUUGAUCUUCACAGUUCAUCUCGUUAGAUCUCAGAUCUCAUAUACUCGCAGUUCGACGUCAUGUUCUUCUUUGUCAAUCUCUUCAGCUUCUGAAUAACCCGACAAUCCAAUUUAUAUUUUAUGGGUUGGUUUAGAAACUUGAUUUAACCCAAAUAACCUAAAAGUAUGGGUUUGGUUGAGAUGUUUCUCAACCCAACCUUACUACACCCUUAACAGCAACUUUUUUAAAAAUUGCAGAUAUAGCAAAAUUCUUUAGUGAUAAACUUCUAUCGCUCAUAGAUUAUUAUGGUCUAUCAUGAUUGAUUUUGACAGAUUUUGCUUUAUUUGUAAAUUUUUUAAAAUGUUGCUAUAUAUUUAAUUAUUUUAAAUUUAAUUACUAUAUUUGCAACUAUUCUUUUAUUUUGUGUGGUUCUUCUAUUAUUUGGUACACUUUAUAUAUUAUUAUUUUCUUUGGUUUUAUUAUAUUAUGAGAUAUAUUCUGUUAAUUUUGUGCAAAAUACUCUACACAUAUUUUACUUGCUAUAUGUUUCUUUUCUUUGAUUCUUCCAUUUAUCUUUUAAUUCUCUUUUGAAUAUUUAUUUUCUUGAAAAUCUUGGAUUGUAUUUUGUGGAUUUUUUUUCUUAACGUGCACUUCAUCUUUUGAGGUCAAAUGUUUAAUCUAUCAUUUGAUUUAUGUAUCAUGGUCUUAUUUAAGAACGGAAGAGUUCACUACAUGUGAAAAAUCAAGACUCUGUUUACGAACUCUUUCCAAAACACUUCUUGGACGUUUCUUUUUGUUUUUGUUUUUGUUUUUUUCUUUGAAAAAUAAGAUAUUUUACAAAACUUUUGAAAAACUGCAUGAGCAAGGAUGUUGGCCACACACAGGGCAAUGAGCAGCAAGGCAACAUGCACCAUGGUGCGCGGAAGAUGUUGUCUUGGUGCCAUCUUUGCACAUGCGGAAGCGAACUUUCAAAUGGCAUUUACAAAACAUUGGGGAAAACACUUUUUUUUCUUCCUAUUUUCUUCUAGAAAGUCUUUCCAGAACAUAUGUAUAUAUAUGUGUGUGUAUAUACAUAUAUAUUUGCAAAAUCUCUCGUUUAAAAGGUCUAUACAAGAACAUGUUCUAAAAGUUUU